UUUUGUAUAAUGGGUCAGCGACUUAUAUUCUGUAGCAAGGUUAACCGAAUAGGGGAGCCGAAGGGAAACCGAGUCUUAACUGGGCGUUAAGUUGCAGGGUAUAGACCCGAAACCCGGUGAUCUAGCCAUGGGCAGGUUGAAGGUUGGGUAACACUAACUGGAGGACCGAACCGACUAAUGUUGAAAAAUUAGCGGAUGACUUGUGGCUGGGGGUGAAAGGCCAAUCAAACCGGGAGAUAGCUGGUUCUCCCCGAAAGCUAUUUAGGUAGCGCCUCGUGAAUUCAUCUCCGGGGGUAGAGCACUGUUUCGGCAAGGGGGUCAUCCCGACUUACCAACCCGAUGCAAACUGCGAAUACCGGAGAAUGUUAUCACGGGAGACACACGGCGGGUGCUAACGUCCGUCGUGAAGAGGGAAACAACCCAGACCGCCAGCUAAGGUCCCAAAGUCAUGGUUAAGUGGGAAACGAUGUGGGAAGGCCCAGACAGCCAGGAUGUUGGCUUAGAAGCAGCCAUCAUUUAAAGAAAGCGUAAUAGCUCACUGGUCGAGUCGGCCUGCGCGGAAGAUGUAACGGGGCUAAACCAUGCACCGAAGCUGCGGCAGCGACACUAUGUGUUGUUGGGUAGGGGAGCGUUCUGUAAGCCUGUGAAGGUGUGCUGUGAGGUAUGCUGGAGGUAUCAGAAGUGCGAAUGCUGACAUAAGUAACGAUAAAGCGGGUGAAAAGCCCGCUCGCCGGAAGACCAAGGGUUCCUGUCCAACGUUAAUCGGGGCAGGGUGAGUCGACCCCUAAGGCGAGGCCGAAAGGCGUAGUCGAUGGGAAACAGGUUAAUAUUCCUGUACUUGGUGUUACUGCGAAGGGGGGACGGAGAAGGCUAUGUUGGCCGGGCGACGGUUGUCCCGGUUUAAGCGUGUAGGCUGGUUUUCCAGGCAAAUCCGGAAAAUCAAGGCUGAGGCGUGAUGACGAGGCACUACGGUGCUGAAGCAACAAAUGCCCUGCUUCCAGGAAAAGCCUCUAAGCAUCAGGUAACAUCAAAUCGUACCCCAAACCGACACAGGUGGUCAGGUAGAGAAUACCAAGGCGCUUGAGAGAACUCGGGUGAAGGAACUAGGCAAAAUGGUGCCGUAACUUCGGGAGAAGGCACGCUGAUAUGUAGGUGAAGUCCCUUGCGGAUGGAGCUGAAAUCAGUCGAAGAUACCAGCUGGCUGCAACUGUUUAUUAAAAACACAGCACUGUGCAAACACGAAAGUGGACGUAUACGGUGUGACGCCUGCCCGGUGCCGGAAGGUUAAUUGAUGGGGUUAGCGGUAACGCGAAGCUCUUGAUCGAAGCCCCGGUAAACGGCGGCCGUAACUAUAACGGUCCUAAGGUAGCGAAAUUCCUUGUCGGGUAAGUUCCGACCUGCACGAAUGGCGUAAUGAUGGCCAGGCUGUCUCCACCCGAGACUCAGUGAAAUUGAACUCGCUGUGAAGAUGCAGUGUACCCGCGGCAAGACGGAAAGACCCCGUGAACCUUUACUAUAGCUUGACACUGAACAUUGAGCCUUGAUGUGUAGGAUAGGUGGGAGGCUUUGAAGUGUGGACGCCAGUCUGCAUGGAGCCGACCUUGAAAUACCACCCUUUAAUGUUU
Molecule: ribosomal RNA, 1625 nt
Filed under: Escherichia coli
Lineage: Bacteria; Pseudomonadati; Pseudomonadota; Gammaproteobacteria; Enterobacterales; Enterobacteriaceae
Description: partial 23S ribosomal RNA
Rfam family: Bacterial large subunit ribosomal RNA
Source: RNAcentral